GUGCCCUUGGUGUACGGAAAUACACAUCUUUCCAUUAUCCCUUCUCGAUGCUACAAGAUGAGUCCGGGGUUCGACUCCCUGAGGGUGCA
Molecule: non-coding RNA, 89 nt
Organism: Mycena olivaceomarginata
Lineage: Eukaryota; Fungi; Basidiomycota; Agaricomycetes; Agaricales; Mycenaceae
Source: the annotation of a GenBank genome assembly